AUGAACGCUGGCGGCGUGCCUAAUACAUGCAAGUCGAGCGAACAGACGAGGAGCUUGCUCCUUCGACGUUAGCGGCGGACGGGUGAGUAACACGUAGGUAACCUACCUAUAAGACUGGGAUAACUUCGGGAAACCGGAGCUAAUACCGGAUAAUAUUUCGAACCGCAUGGUUCGAUAGUGAAAGAUGGCUUUGCUAUCACUUAUAGAUGGACCUGCGCCGUAUUAGCUAGUUGGUAAGGUAACGGCUUACCAAGGCAACGAUACGUAGCCGACCUGAGAGGGGGAUCGGCCACACUGGAACUGAGACACGGUCCAGACUCCUACGGGAGGCAGCAGUAGGGAAUCUUCCGCAAUGGGCGAAAGCCUGACGGAGCAACGCCGCGUGAGUGAUGAAGGUCUUCGGAUCGUAAAACUCUGUAUUAGGGAAGAACAAACGUGUAAGUAACUGUGCACGUCUUGACGGUACCUAAUCAGAAAGCCACGGCUAACUACGUG
Molecule: ribosomal RNA, 495 nt
Filed under: uncultured bacterium
Lineage: Bacteria
Description: partial 16S ribosomal RNA
Rfam family: Bacterial small subunit ribosomal RNA
Source: RNAcentral